CCUACGGGUGGCUGCAGUGAGGAAUAUUGGUCAAUGGGCGGGAGCCUGAACCAGCCAAGUCGCGUGAGGGAAGACGGUCCUACGGAUUGUAAACCUCUUUUGCCGGGGAGCAACGGGGUCCUUGCGAGGGCCCGAUGAGAGUACCCGGAGAAAAGGCAUCGGCUAACUCCGUGCCAGCAGCCGCGGUAAUACGGGGAAGGCGAGCGUUAUCCGUUUUUAUGGGGUUUAAGGGGUGCGUAGGUGGGCUGUUAAGUCAGCGGUAAAAUGUCGGGGCUCAACCCCGGCCUGCCGUUGAAACUGGCGGCCUCGAGUGGGCGAGAGGUAUGCGGAAUGCAUGGUGUAGCGGUGAAAUGCAUAGAUAUCACGCAGAACUCCGAUUGCGAAGGCAGCAUACCGGCGCCCGACUGACGCUGAGGCACGAAAGCGUGGGUAUCGAACAGGAUUAGAUACCCGGGUAGUC
This 460-nucleotide ribosomal RNA is filed under the name uncultured bacterium. Its description in RNAcentral is "partial 16S ribosomal RNA". It matches the Rfam family "Bacterial small subunit ribosomal RNA", at positions 338 to 795 of the family's 1533-position model. The record is from RNAcentral.